RNAcentral lists this non-coding RNA (31 nucleotides) under Mus musculus (house mouse). The record is from RNAcentral. Lineage: Eukaryota; Metazoa; Chordata; Mammalia; Rodentia; Muridae.
UAGGUACCCACGUACUGUAAAAAUACAUGCA